UUACAAGGCUACGAUAAGAUAAUAUAUCUGAACAUUGAGUAGAACAAAACAGACCGUAAGGUUAUAAUUAUGA
Molecule: ribosomal RNA, 73 nt
Filed under: Plasmodium chabaudi chabaudi
Lineage: Eukaryota; Apicomplexa; Aconoidasida; Haemosporida; Plasmodiidae
Description: rRNA PCHAS_rRNA_RNA4
Source: RNAcentral